UCAACAUGCCAGGCACGGAAGACGUCAAAACUCUAAUUUUCCUGCUUUGCUCAAGACGCUGACGACGAAUGAACGUGAGUUUGGGUCGUGGCUUAUGCAGAAUAAGACCGCUCUAGGUGAAUUUGUAUCAGCGACGGCGGAUGCGAUUAUG
Molecule: long non-coding RNA, 151 nt
Organism: Cydia splendana
Lineage: Eukaryota; Metazoa; Arthropoda; Insecta; Lepidoptera; Tortricidae
Exons: 4
Source: RefSeq, a predicted model, not a curated record